AAGGUGCUCGGUCCUUCCGAGGAAGCUAAGGCUGCGUUGGGGUGAGGCCCUCACUUCAUCCGGCGACUAGCACCGCGUCCGGCAGCGCCAGCCCUACACUCGCCCGCGCCAUGGCCUCUGUCUCCGAGCUCGCCUGCAUCUACUCGGCCCUCAUUCUGCACGACGAUGAGGUGACAGUCACGGAGGAUAAGAUCAAUGCCCUCAUUAAAGCAGCCGGUGUAAAUGUUGAGCCUUUUUGGCCUGGCUUGUUUGCAAAGGCCCUGGCCAACGUCAACAUUGGGAGCCUCAUCUGCAAUGUAGGGGCCGGUGGACCUGCUCCAGCAGCUGGUGCUGCACCAGCAGGAGGUCCUGCCCCCUCCACUGCUGCUGCUCCAGAAAGUGGAAGCAAAGAAAGAAGAAUCCGAGGAGUCUGAUGAUGACAUGGGCUUUGGUCUUUUUGACUAAACCUCUUUUAUAACAUGUUCAAUAAAAAGCUGAACUUUAC
RNAcentral lists this long non-coding RNA (484 nucleotides) under Homo sapiens (human). RNAcentral describes it as "long non-coding RNA NONHSAT170957.1". The record is from RNAcentral. Lineage: Eukaryota; Metazoa; Chordata; Mammalia; Primates; Hominidae.